AACGAACGCUGGCGGCAUGCCUAACACAUGCAAGUCGAACGAGACCUUCGGGUCUAGUGGCGCACGGGUGCGUAACGCGUGGGAACCUGCCCUUAGGUUCGGAAUAACUCCCCGAAAGGGGUGCUAAUACCGGAUAAUGUCUUCGGACCAAAGAUUUAUCGCCUUUGGAUGGGCCCGCGUUGGAUUAGCUAGUUGGUAGGGUAAAAGCCUACCAAGGCGACGAUCCAUAGCUGGUCUGAGAGGAUGAUCAGCCACACUGGGACUGAGACACGGCCCAGACUCCUACGGGAGGCAGCAGUGGGGAAUAUUGACAAUGGGCGAAAGCCUGAUCCAGCAAUGCCGCGUGAGUGAUGAAGGCCUUAGGGUUGUAAAGCUCUUUUACCCGGGAUGAUAAUGACAGUACCGGGAGAAUAAGCGCCGGCUAACUCCGUG
Molecule: ribosomal RNA, 432 nt
Filed under: uncultured bacterium
Lineage: Bacteria
Description: partial 16S ribosomal RNA
Rfam family: Bacterial small subunit ribosomal RNA
Source: RNAcentral